Non-coding RNA from Paramuricea clavata, 340 nucleotides. The record is from the annotation of a GenBank genome assembly. NCBI's taxonomy places the organism in Eukaryota, Metazoa, Cnidaria, Anthozoa, Malacalcyonacea, Plexauridae.
GGGCCAUGAAAUUUUUCAGCCGGAUGGGUCACAAAAUUUUUUGGAGGAAAAUUUAUUUUCCCCUCCGACCUCUUUUAGCAGUUACUUUAUGAGCCACUUGGCUAUGUUUACAUUGUAUCGGAUCGGUUUUUGCUUCGUUCGCGAAACGUUACGGUCCAAGUGUAAACAGCUUUCACUCCCGCCCUUCUAUGCCGUCGUAUUUGCUUGUAUAUAUUUACCAAAUACAAAAAUAUUGCAGACAUCAUAUAAAAGAGUGAGCAAGCUAUACCCGCAAAUAGGAUUAGAAUAGCAAGUUUUUGUUUGCUGGACGCCAUCUUGAGUUACGCAUUGAACCGAAAAU